AUUGUUUGAGGUGGAAAAUUUCGUCUCCGUCCACACGCCGAUGGUUUGACAGGGAGCAAUCCCGAGAGAUGCAGGAGAAAGGGACGCCUGCCAAACAAC
The submitters of this non-coding RNA (99 nucleotides) gave its source as unclassified sequences. The record is from Rfam.